ACGGACCACUCGUACAUUUCGAUUCUGAGCGCGCGUCCGCACCCACCUGACGACCGCCUGCUUUCUUGUGUUGGCC
This 76-nucleotide small RNA is filed under the name Xanthomonas arboricola. RNAcentral's name for it is "sRNA sX9". It matches the Rfam family "Xanthomonas sRNA sX9". The record is from RNAcentral. Lineage: Bacteria; Pseudomonadati; Pseudomonadota; Gammaproteobacteria; Lysobacterales; Lysobacteraceae.